Molecule: long non-coding RNA, 15513 nt
Filed under: Triticum aestivum (bread wheat)
Lineage: Eukaryota; Viridiplantae; Streptophyta; Magnoliopsida; Poales; Poaceae
Description: long non-coding RNA (TAES_LNC015077)
Source: RNAcentral
GUCAAUCCAGUCGCUAGUCAAUCCCUCGCACAGCCUUCAUCGUUGUCCGUUAUUAUCCUCCUCAAUCACCUCGCACAGCCGCCGCCGCCGCCGACCCGACCCUCGACCGUGGCGACGACGGCGUCCCUCCUGUCGGUCGCGCCGCCGCUGCCCCAAAUCGUCACACAGCCGCAGCUGCCUAUACUUUUUCUCGCCCCUCCCCUAAUCCAGUUUCCGUCCAAAGCCGCCACCGCAAACAAGGGAUCCCACCGGACCUCUCCGCCGCCGCAAUCAAGUGAUCCCGCCGGACCUCGCCGCCGCCGCCAUCAAGGGAUCCCGCCGGACCUCGUCGCCGCCGCAAUCAAGGGAUCCCGCUGGAUUGCCGCCAGGUUUCUGGCCCGCCGCCAGGAGCCGCAGGAACUGCAUGCCAUCAGGCACGGCGUGCCGAGCCCGCCGAAGCCUCCUCUGCCCCACCGCCCCUGCAGCGCAUCCCUCCGUCGAGCAUCCGGUCAUGCCGAGCAACGCCGCGGACCAGUCCGUAGGCAGGUAGCCACCCUUCCUCCACCCACUUCCGUGACCCCCUCCCAUUACCUUCCCAUCACACUAGAUUGAGAAAACUGUUGUUAAUUCCACGGUUAGAAGGCAAAAGCCUGUAAUACCUUAUCUUCAGUUGAAUGUAACGUCAGCUGCACUCAAGGCGAAAAUGGUACUGUACUAACUAAACAUUUUGCUGGCUUCUCUGAUUAUUUUGCGUCUUUGUCUAGCUGGUUGUUUUGCAUAUGGGAGUAUAAUUUUCUUCCAGGAUGGUGUUCCUUCCUUUAGCUGCAAAUUUAAACCAAUUGCUAUGCAACCUAGGCUUUGAGCCAGCUCAUAUUUAGUCAGUCUCGUUAGUGCAACAAUCAUGAAGUNNNNNNNNNNNNNNNNNNNNNNNNNNNNNNNNNNNNNNNNNNNNNNNNNNNNNNNNNNNNNNNNNNNNNNNNNNNNNNNNNNNNNNNNNNNNNNNNNNNNNNNNNNNNNNNNNNNNNNNNNNNNNNNNNNNNNNNNNNNNNNNNNNNNNNNNNNNNNNNNNNNNNNNNNNNNNNNNNNNNNNNNNNNNNNNNNNNNNNNNNNNNNNNNNNNNNNNNNNNNNNNNNNNNNNNNNNNNNNNNNNNNNNNNNNNNNNNNNNNNNNNNNNNNNNNNNNNNNNNNNNNNNNNNNNNNNNNNNNNNNNNNNNNNNNNNNNNNNNNNNNNNNNNNAAUUCCUGGUUCUGCAGUUAGGCAAUUACCACAUGCUUUCCUGCAGUGAAGCAUCUGCUGUUAUGAUAUGCAGGCAUGAGUACCAGAAGGUGGCUACCAUUGUUUGUAGGAUUAAGGAAAUGAUUUGGAUGAGGGCCAUGGGCUUAGUCAGAGUAGUUCAGGAUGAUGGGAGCUGAAUCUGUAUUUAGUUUGUUUUUGUUUUGCACAUCGGUAGGCAAAGCCUAGUGUUUGUUUGGCUUCAGUCAUGUCCUUGGUUACAGUAGCGUGAAUCUGCAAGUUAAAGAUCAGACAUUUACUAAAACUGAACCAAGGAAAUUUGGAUUUCAUAGUUACAGUUGCAGGAAAUGGUCAUAUUAUGACUGAAAUAUAUUUAAAAUGUCUAUUUAGUUCUGUUUUCAGAUAUAACCUUGUAAGUAGAAACAUGUAUAACUCAAACAACCAUACAUCUAGUUAAUUUUGCACAGGCAGCAAUGUUAAGUCUUACUACGAACCUAGCAAUAAAAAUGAUGAAGCUCCUGUCAAUUUUUCGAAUAACUAGCUUGAGACAAUAUUCUCUCUUCUCUAAUGGAAAUGACAGAGCUCCUGUCAAUUUUUUGAAAAAAAGUUGUUUUUCAGACUCAUCUAUCUCAGACAAAAUGAAGACUUGAAUGGUAGUGAGAGAGCUGCAAUUAUUUAACUUCAUAUCUUGGCUUACAUGCUUGUUCUUCCAUAAUGCAGUGAAUAUGUAAAUCUGUACUAAACCAUUGAGUUUUGCUGUGUUGAGCAUACCUGCUUGUUGUUCAUUCCUUAUCCCCUUGUAUGCAGGAUCUAUCUGGCCGACCUCAUUUGAGCUGCGGCUUAAGUAUUCCUACUGCAUGGGUUUGCACAUAUGAUACAUAGGUAUUGUGAAAUUUCGCAGUUUGUCAGGACCCCGACUCAAUGCCACAUCGAUCUAGCAUGUAACACCUCAUAUCACUUUGCGGCCUCACGCACGGUAUUCCCACGGGUGUCGCCUUACCUUAGCCCGGGACCGUUUGCGCCUUUUGGCACACGUAUAUGACAGUGUCGCUAGCAUCCAUAUGAUAAGGAGCCCGGGCUGACAUGGCUAGUCGUAAACCCAAAGUGGCACAGACUUACAGGGACAGGCAUCCAUGACCCAGCAUCGAACGUGUCGGUUAUCAGCGAGUGAAUCCAGGCUGUAGCACUGGGCUAGCAGGACUCCGGUGAACCGGGCUGUAGCAGGCUAACAGGACUCCGGUAUUCAUCGCGUGACAUUUCCCCGAAGGGACAGACACAGGAACGAAGAAGGACACAUGCCGGCCGGCCUAAGUGUUCCGGAGCAGUAGCAAGCUACCAUGGCUCCGUGGAAACACUAGGAGAUAUUUCCCCGUAAGAGAGGCUACUAAAGAUAAACAUCUAGAUGGUCAGAUCCCACACAUACCAAGCAUUUCAAUAACAUACACACAAUAUGCUCGAUAUGUGCAAAUACAACAUGGCAUCACAACAUGACUCUAUGACUCAAGUAAUUUAUUCAGUAGGCUCCGAGGAGCGAGAUAUUACAAACAUGGGUCUCAUGACCCAACAAUCAGAGCAUACAAAUCAAAGCACAAGCGGAAGCUAUCAUGUCUGAGUACAGACAUCUAUAAAUGAAAAAGGCUUGAAAGCCUGACUAUCUAUCAGAUCCUGCCGAGGGCACAAGAUCGUAGCUGAGGUAACAAGCUAAACGUCGAAGUCCACGCGAAACUACUAGUGAGACCGAAGUCUCUCUGCAAAAACAUAAAAUAGGCCAACGUGAGUACAAAUGUACCCAGCAAGACUUACAUCAGAACUAACUACAUAUGCAUCAUUAUCAACAAAGGGGAUGGUGGGGUUUAACUGCAGCAAGCCAGCUUUGACUCGGUGGCUAUCCUAAACUACGACUGCAAUGUAACUCUUUUGAGGUGGCUCACACGAGUCCACAUAUUCACCAACCAAUACACCACUAUGGAACCGCUCCCGUCUCCCUACGAGAAUGCCAUUCAUAGCACUCACGCUUAUCUUGCGUAUUUUAGAGUAUCCACUUUCACUUGUCUAUGAACUGAUAUAAGCAACCCAGAAGUCCUUUUUCGCGGACACGGCUAUUCGAAUAGAUGAUGUUAACCCUGCAGGGGUGUACUUCUUCAUACAUGUUUCCAGCACUUAGCGUCUGCACACGACAUGUGCUCGGCAGACUUCAAGCGAAAGCCGACGUGGGUGUAGACCACGACCUACCUAAACACUCAAGUCUCUAGUCCAGGUUUAUCGCCUAUUCGGGUUCCAUCCAUGAGGAGAUCCGGCCGGAGUUUCGCUCACAGCCCCAAACGAUGUGAACAGGGUUCCGUGACACCAAACGGGCGCCCGGUAUACCCGGCCACGUGCCUACCGCAUCACAGCCCACCCCUCCGGUCAGCACUGUCCACGGCCUCCAGCAUACUACAAACACCAGAAACUACUUGCAACUCCUGGACAGAGGACGAGGGUGAAUAAGAAGUCGAGCGGGGUCAUAUUUCAGGGCCCAAUAUAUGGUAGUAGCUGAAUCAUGGAUCACAAACACAGAACUCAGUUCCUAAGGACGGCUUCAAUGAGACAACCCACCAUGUACUCCUACAUGGCCUCUCACCGACACCUUUUACCAAAUCGUGUUCACACACUUAGCUCACACACAGUAGGACAUGUUCACACACCCCUGAUUCAUCCCGGAUAAAUCAGACCUGACACAACUCUAAGCAGUAGCAGGCAUGACAAACAAGCAAGAAUGAGUAGGCACAACAGGGCUCAAACAACUCCUACUCAUGCUAGUGGGUUUCAUCUAUUUACUGUGGAAUGACAGGUCAUGCAGAGGAUAAAGGGGUUCAGCUACCGCAGCAAGUAACAGUUGAAUCGUUGUUGUCCUAAUGCAGUAAAAGAGAGCAGGGGCGAGAGAGUAGGAUUGUAUCGGAAUGAACAAGGGGGUUUUGCUUGCCUGGCACUUCUGAAGAUAACAUUGGGUCUUCAUCAGUGUCAACGAUCACAUCGUCGGUAUCACGUCUAUCGAGAGGGAACAGAUACCGGCAACAAAGAAGAAAUACAAUCAAUGCAAUGCACAAUAUGAUGCAUGCUCAUGACAUGGCAAUAUGAAUGUGUUUUGAGCUAAUGCAACUAGCAACAGAUUAAAUGAAGUUGGUUUGAAUACAAGAUUCAAAUUCAAACUCCAUAUGUGAUUAUUCAAAUGUCAUUUAAUUGAUUUGUGCUAAACAGCAGCUAUAAGCUGUUCUAACAUGCAUGAAAAUGGUACAGAUGGAAUCCUUGAAUUUUUCUGAUAAUUUUUCAUAUAUAAAUUAUUUAAUUUGGAGUUACGGUUGAAUUUCUAUGAUUUUUAGAAGUUUUAGGCAUUUUCUGGAAUUUCCUGAAUAUUAAUAAAUCCAGAAAAUGAUUUAACUGCAUCAGCCUGAAGCCAGCAUGACGUCAGCGAGUCAACGGCCAGGUCCAGGUCAAACCUGACGUGUGGGGUCCACACGUCAGUGACACAGGUUAGACAGGGGGGUUAGUUUAGUUUAAUUAAAGAUUAGGGGCACUAGGGCCCACAUGUCAGUGGCUCUAGGCCUGGGUUAGCGGGGUGGUUAGGCCCUAAUGACCGGCCACGUCAGCUCUCGCCGGAGUUUAGCCGGCGACGACCACAGAGCACGGCAGGGGGACGCCGGACUUGCGCUAGGGGCAUCGGAUCGACGCGCCAAGGGCACCAGGAGGUAGCCCGUGCCCGUGCGCAUCUAGGGGGACCAACGGGAGGUGCGGGGGUGGCCGGGGUUCGCCGCAGUGGAGCCCGAGGCGGCGGCCGGAGCUCGGGGUUGGGGCGAGUUAGUGCUACGGUGCGCAAACGAGCGAGGUGAGAGGCUAGCGGGGCGCUACGCGGUGCGGGGAGCGAGUUAGGCAUGCUAGGGUGACCAAAUGGUCACCGGAGCUACGCCGGCGACGAGCUCAGGCGGCGGCAUGCUACAGCCAGCUAUGAAAUGGCGGCUACGGCGAGCGGCAAGCCACGGGGUUAGGGGCAAAACGUGCAGGAGCUCACGGUGGUUCGGAUGGGGUAGAUGACGAGCUCGGGGAAGCGGAGACGGCGGCGAAUCGACGGUGAAGAUCCUCGGCGGCCGGCGAUGGAAACGGCGAUGGUGGCGGCGUUGCAGCAUGUCCGGGACCUUGUGGCUCGGUGGAGAGAAAGAGGGGGUCGAGGCGGAGCCUUGGAGCGCAUCGGCGAGGCUAGGGGGUGGCGGUGGCCGCGAGGGAGCUCGUCGGUGGCGGCGGCUCCGUUCGGGCGAGUGAGAGAGAGGUCCAGGGGAGAGGAUGAGGACGCGGGAGAGUGAGGGAGAGAGGCAGGGAGGUGCGUGGCGUCUCCGGGGCGUCGAGGAGGAAGCAGAAGGUGGCCAGGGGAAGCAGGAGGUGGCCGAGGCCUCUCGGGCGCGCGCCACGCCUCGCCUCUGCCUACUGGCAGAGGAAGACGACAGGGGGGGAGUGGAGAUGGGCUGGGCCGUGCUGGGCCAGGUAAGUGGGCGCCAGGUAACUUCCUUCUCUCUCUCUUUUAUUUCUUUUCUAUUUCUGUUAUUUUGUUUUUGAUUUGAUUUAAAAUACCAAAUCAUCUAAUAAAAUCCUGGAAACAAUUAUGGGUGCUUUCUGAAUUAUUUCAGUGACCCUUAACAAUUUCCAACAUUUAUUUGAACAUUUAAAUUAUUUAUAGUAUUUAAAUGCCCAAAGUCGAAUACAAUAUGAUUUAAUUCAAAAAUCCAAAAAUGACCUAAGAAUAUAUUCAUCAUUUUUGGCAGAGGUUUCCACCUUAACCAGAAAUCAUGAACUUUUCUUAGGAACCUUUUGGGUUUAUUGAAAAGAUUUUAAUUCACCCUAGUUGAGUUGAUUUAAUGCUAGGGUUUGAACAUCCCCAUUUCAAUUUUAGGCAAAAUUUAAACAUGAUGCAACACAUGACUAGCUAGCUCAGAGCAAACCAGAAGCUAGGGAUGUGACAACUCACCCCCACUAAACAAGAACCUCGUCUCGAGAUUCAAGCGUAGGGUAAGGUGAAGGGGUAGCGCAAACUAGUAUAAUCUUCACGAUCCAGGGUGCACUUCAAUUGAACGUUGAUUCAUUCACCAUCAUUGUCUUGAAGUCUUGCCUUGAGAACUCCAACUAUCAUGACAACGAGAGGAAAGGAAAGACCCUAAAGAAUUGUUCUUCUCGAAGGUCGAACAACUCAGGAUUAACCCACGGAAUGAGACAUAACAACAUCUCUCGAGCUGAGAGACGAAGUACACAUCCAUAGGAAUUGGAGUGAAGCAGAUGACAAAGGUUCACUAGGUAGACAACAAUUCCAGACUCAAGAAUGUGGUAAACGAUUGUCACGUAGCGAGGAGUUGAGUUGCCAUGAUACCAUAAUGAUGCACCUUAGGGAAGGUGACUCGUAGAAAUAUCCCCUUAAGUGGCAAAAAGAAUUACCUUUGAUUCAAAGAUCAUUGAAACUCUUUAAACCAGCCUAAGACAAUUCUCGAGCGAUCGUUUGGAGGGGGUCGGUAGAAUAGCAUACUCGGACUUGGAUGAUGUGGACUACCUUGUUGAAGACAACGCAAUGUAUGAUUUUUGCUUAUCACCGGAAAUGGAAGAGAUCCAUGGUAGAAUGGCACAUUGGCGGUGCAAGCUGGGAACAAAAUGCAAAUGCUGGGAAUGAUUCUAGUAACUGGGGAAGAACCCAACAAUAGAGAGUGAAUUCACUGUUUAAAAAGGUCAUAGCAUUGCCGAGGAAACUAAGAGGAAUCCCAGUUAGUGCCGAUGAUAACACGUAGCGCUUGUGCGUGCUCUCAAGAACUUGAGCAUUUCCAUAAUCAUCAAGAUUUUAUCAACAUCCGUGUCAAGGGUGCUGACAACACAACAUACUACCAUGAUGAAUAGCGAUGGGCGAUGCAGAUGCAAAGGAGGAUAACACUUUCUCAGAUUUCACCUUAGCGAGGCCAAGGAAACAAAAUCUGGAUGAUCGACCGAGAGACAUUUAGCACUCCGCUUCUAAUGUUCUCCUUGAUGUGCUAGUGUAACCCAUUCAUAGAUAUGGUUUGAUAUCUAGAACAUCAAGUAAAAAGGUCGGACUUCGGGAGCACAGGAAUCCAUAAGGAAUAUCUACGGAGGUAAAUCCUACGAAGUCCUCAUGGGGAGGUGGCCAACUUCCUCAAUCAUGAUAUUAUAAUAACAGGUCUUCCGGCUGGGUGUGUUGGCCACGACAUCCACCUUACCGGUUAUCGAGGGACCAAUAUUAUAGUUCUUGGGAAAUGUUCCAACCAUUAUAUCUGCCUGAGAUUCAGAUCUGGUUGGUGUCAGGAUAUUCUAGACUCAUCGAGUCUAGGAAGAAAAAUGAAAGUUUGCAACACAAAUCGACGAGAUGACGUUGCGAGAUUCUCGGGGAGCGAACUACGAUAGCAAGCUCCAAAACAUGAGCCGGUUCUGCUACACACAUGUGAACACGUUGUCCCAGACAAACAUUAUCACAUGGUAGUCUUACAACAAAACACUACCGAGUUCAGGUGGGGAACCAUCAUUAAUGACAUUGAAGUCUCCACGCGUGGAAGUCCAAAGAGUUCACCUUGGACAGACUCCUUUAUCUUUGAACAACUCAAUCAGUGGCUUGGUGUGCUCGGAACACAUAUGGAAUGAAGGUUGCAAGUCUCCAGACCACAGAAUACUUCGCACGUAUGCAUGACUGACUUGGGAUGAUUCCAGAGGAAGCAAAACUAACUUUCUCAAAUCCACGGCGGCAACUUUCACCAAAUGCACGUGUAUAAGAGGAAGUCACUCCUUUCAUCAAACAAAUACUUCAUGAGCUAGCAUGAAGAAAAUGCUUUCAAAAGUUUCCAACACUAGCUUAAUGUUCAACAAAAUCAUGGAGGAGAUAAGGAUGUUGUCAAUGGGCUCAACAACAAUUCUUCCGGGUUUCCCUUUAAAAGGAAUUCCAUAGUUAAGAGAACAAGUGAUAGCAUUGGUCAGACCCAAAAGAUAUAAUGGUGUAUGCUCGAGGGAUCAACCACGAGUAAGACAACAUUACGAAUAUCGUUGGUUCUGGUCUGAUUGGAUGAUAGCCCAUACUCAAAUCAAAGAUGGGGUAAGACAAUAGGUCCAACAACUGAUCACAAGGACCAAUUAAUGAAGAUAUCAUCUUUCUUCAACACACACACAUACACAGAAAGAUAUCCCUUAACAUGAACUAAGUCAGACAGGCUUUUAUCUUCCAACUCUCCAAUUUGUUGUUUGGCUUAACCAACUAGCUCAGGGGCAUCUAACACCGAUUCUUGGAGAGAAAGUGGUUCACAAGAAACCAACUUGAUCACGAGCUCAACGUAACAGUCAGGUGACAGCCUGGUGAUACUUUCGAGAAGAUAUUCGGAAAAUCACGAACCACCGAUAUGUUACUAAGCUCGAGAACAAUCUCGCUUUUGAGGGCAAGACGAUAUGAUCAAAUGAGUGAGGACUUGACAAAAUCCUAACUCAUCAAUCGAAGUGUGCACCAGGAAGAUGGACAAGGUAGCACGAUCAAUCUUAGAAGGAUGAUUCAAAAACCAACACGCUAAGAAUGAAAUUAUUGUCCUUUAACUACCAAGCAACGAGGUUGCUGGGAGUAUUGAUUUCACACACCACGAUUCACUUGUCGGCAUUCCGGUUACAAUAACACAGGAACCGAGGAAUGAACAGUGAUGGCAAGAAGUAUCACUGUACCAAGAGUUCAUGGGAUGGUGUGCAAUUCCUAUAACAAUCCCGAUAUAAAGAUGGUAAUACUCCAAGGUAGAACAGAGCAAAAGCUGAAUUGGCAUUUUGAUCUGCGGAGCACAACUUCUUUGACCCAAUCCUGGAUAUGGAAGAGGUACUGGAGUUUGUUUCUCCUAGUCACUCCGGAAUAGAAUGGCUUGACAGACCACAAGAGUCAUAGGCAUCGAUGAACGAAUGCACACAUAAUCUCGACUAUCAAUUGAUAGACGAGGGUCAGAAGACAACUAAAGAGGGACAACUCAAAGGAACAUACGGUUUUCUGAGUUGUGGAUGCAUAGAUUAGUAUGUCGAGCGAGAUCAACAUUUCUUCCAGAUAACCCAUGCAGAGAGGUAGGACUGGCAGAGUCACGAUUUAUGAAUGGAGAUCUCCUCAAGAGUACUCUAAUUGUGAUAUUUUGAUCCAAUAAACAUCUGCCAUAAGCGGUUCAUAGUAUUUGGAAGAAGGAAAUACCACGGACCUCGAGGACUAUCGCAAAGUUACUAAUAUCCUGAAGGAACUAGCAAACACUAUCAACAUGAAGUAAGUAGAGUGAAUCUCGGGUUCAAAACCCAGAAAUAGAAUGCCUACUAACUAAUAACAUCACGGGAUGCUUUCAAAAAUAAUGGCCAGAAUCAUCACACUGGGGAUACAAAAGCAUUGCUAAAUUGCUAGGUGACUUCCUAAACACCUAAGGUCAUAAUAAUAGCUCCAACAUCUACGCCGAGGUAACAAAGUACCUCAACCUACCGAUUAGUGUGCUUAUUCCGACCAAAAGGGACAUCGGAGACGGAAGGAAAAGAUUUGCAAAUGCAUCAGACUGUUUAGAGACCUGGGAUGACUCGGACAGCAUAACGGCUGUAAAUGCUCAAAAAGAUUUGAGACAAUCACAAAAUGGUGGCAUAACCACUCAACAUCACAGUAUCAAGGUUCCGAGAUCAACAGUAAUCAUACAGAAGUAGUAGGAACUGAAGCGAGGCUUAAGUCCAACAAUCUUAUAAGUCUACAGAUUAGCAACACGUGAUCCUAAUAGAAAGAAGAGAUAGCCUAGUUCUUAAUCCCCAUAGAAGAGAAGAUGAUGACUCAGAUCAGAAGGCCAUGAGGUAUAAGGAGUAAAAAGAGCCUUACGUUCCAUCCCACAAUCAAUUCCCUUAUAUAACUAAGAAUUUCUAGACUCAACUUUGACCAGUUUGGCUUGGUAAUCCUACAGGCAGUCAAGCUCUGAUACCAACGCUGUCAGGACCCCGACUCAAUGCCACAUCGAUCUAGCAUGUAACACCUCAUAUCACUUUGCGGCCUCACGCACGGUAUUCCCACGGGUGUCGCCUUACCUUAGCCCGGGACCGUUUGCGCCUUUUGGCACACGUAUAUGACAGUGUCGCUAGCAUCCAUAUGAUAAGGAGCCCGGGCUGACAUGGCUAGUCGUAAACCCAAAGUGGCACAGACUUACAGGGACAGGCAUCCAUGACCCAGCAUCGAACGUGUCGGUCAUCAGCGAGUGAAUCUAGGCUGUAGCACUGGGCUAGCAGGACUCCGGUGAACCGGGCUGUAGCAGGCUAACAGGACUCCGGUAUCAUCGCGUGACAUUUCCCCGAAGGGACAGACACAGGAACAAAGAAGGACACAUGCCGGCCGGCCUAAGUGUUCCGGAGCAGUAGCAAGCUACCAUGGCUCGGUGGAAACACUAGGAGACAUUUCCCCGUAAGAGAGGCUACUAAAGAUAAACAACUAGAUGGUCAGAUCCCACACAUACCAAGCAUUUCAAUAACAUACACACAAUAUGCUCGAUAUGUGCAAAUACAACAUGGCAUCACAACAUGACUCUAUGACUCAAGUAAUUUAUUCAAUAGGCUCCGAGGAGCGAGAUAUUACAAACAUGGGUCUCAUGACCCAACAAUCAGAGCAUACAAAUCAAAGCACAAGCGGAAGCUAUCAUGUCUGAGUACAGACAUCUAUAAAUGAAAAAGGCUUGAAAGCCUGACUAUCUAUCAGAUCCUGCCGAGGGCACAAGAUCGUAGCUGAGGUAACAAGCUAAACGUCGAAGUCCACGCGAAACUACUAGUGAGACCGAAGUCUCUCUGCAAAAACAUAAAAUAGGCAAACGUGAGUACAAAUGUACCCAGCAAGACUUACAUCAGAACUAACUACAUAUGCAUCAUUAUCAACAAAGGGGAUGGUGGGGUUUAACUGCAGCAAGCCAGCUUUGACUCGGUGGCUAUCCUGAACUACGACUGCAAUGUAACUCUUUUGAGGUGGCGCACACGAGUCCACAUAUUCACCAACCAAUACACCACUAUGAAACCGCUCCCGUCUCCCUACGAGAACGCCAUCCAUAGCACUCACGCUUAUCUUGCGUAUUUUAGAGUAUCCACUUUCACUUGUCUAUGAACUGAUAUAAGCAACCCAGAAGUCCUUUUCAGCGGACACGGCUAUUCGAAUAGAUGAUGUUAACCCUGUAGGGGUGUACUUCUUCAUACAUGUUUCCACCACUUAGCGUCUGCACACGACAUGUGCUCGGCAGACUUCAAGCGAAAGCCGACGUGGGUGUAGACCACGACCUACCUAAACACUCAAGUCUCUAGUCCAGGUUUAUCGUCUAUUCGGGUUCCAUCCAUGAGGAGAUCCGGCCGGAGUUUCGCUCACAGCCCCAAACGAUGUGAACAGGGUUCCGUGACACCAAACGGGCGCCCGGUAUACCCGGCCACGUGCCUACCGCAUCACAGCCCACCCCUCCGGUCAGCGCUGUCCACGGCCUCCAGCAUACUACAAACACCAGAAACUACUUGCAACUCCUGGACAGAGAACGAGGGUGAAUAAGAAGUCGAGCAGGGUCAUAUUUCAGGGCCCAAUGUAUGGUAGUAGCUGAAUCAUGCAUCACAAACAUAGAACUCAGUUCCUAAGGACGGCUUCAAUGAGACAACCCACCAUGUACUCCUACAUGGCCUCUCACCGACACCUUUUACCAAAUUGUGUUCACACACUUAGCUCACACACAGUAGGACAUGUUCAGACACCCCUGAUUCAUCCCGGAUAAAUCAGACCUGACACAACUCUAAGCAGUAGCAGGCAUGACAAACAAGCAAGAAUGAGUAGGCACAACAGGGCUCAAACAACUCCUACUCAUGCUAGUGGGUUUCAUCUAUUUACCGUGGAAUGACAGGUCAUGCAGAGGAUAAAGGGGUUCAGCUACCGCAGCAAAUAACAGUUGAAUCGUUGUUGUCCUAAUGCAGUAAAAGAGAGCAGGGGCGAGAGAGUAGGAUUGUAUCGGAAUGAACAAGGGGGUUUUGCUUGCCUGCCACUUCUGAAGAUAACAUUGGGUCUUCAUCAGUGUCAACGAUCACAUCGUCGGUAUCACGUCUAUCGAGAGGGAACAGAUACCGGCAACAAAGAAGAAAUACAAUCAAUGCAAUGCACAAUAUGAUGCAUGCUCAUGACAUGGCAAUAUGAAUGUGUUUUGAGCUAAUGCAACUAGCAACAGAUUAAAUGAAGUUGGUUUGAAUACAAGAUUCAAAUUCAAACUCCAUAUGUGAUUAUUCAAAUGCCAUUUAAUUGAUUUGUGCUAAACAGCAGCUAUAAGUUGUUCUAACAUGCAUGAAAAUGGUACAGAUGGAAUCCUUGAAUUUUUCUGAUAAUUUUUCAUAUAUAAAUUAUUUAAUUUGGAGUUACGGUUGAAUUUCUAUGAUUUUUAGAAGUUUUAGGCAUUUUCUGGAAUUUCCUGAAUAUUAAUAAAUCCAGAAAAUGAUUUAACUGCGUCAGCCUGAAGCCAGCAUGACGUCAGCGAGUCAACGGCCAGGUCCAGGUCAAACCUGACGUGUGGGGUCCACACGUCAGUGACACAGGUUAGACAGGGGGGUUAGUUUAGUUUAAUUAAAGAUUAGGGGCACUAGGGCCCACAUGUCAGUGGCUCUAGGCCUGGGUUAGCGGGGUGGUUAGGCCCUAAUGACCGGCCACGUCAGCUCUCGCCGGAGUUUAGCCGGCGACGACCACAAAGCACGGCGGGGGACGCCGGACUUGCGCUAGGGGCAUCGGAUCGACGCGCCAAGGGCACCAGGAGGUAGCCCGUGCCCGUGCGCAUCUAGGGGGACCAACGGGAGGUGCGGGGGUGGCCGGGGUUCGCCAGAGUGGAGCCCGAGGCGGCGGCCGGAGCUCGGGGUUGGGGCGAGUUAGUGCUACGGUGCGCAAACGAGCGAGGUGAGAGGCUAGCGGGGCGCUACGCGGUGCGGGGAGCGAGUUAGGCAUGCCAGGGUGACCAAAUGGUCACCGGAGCUACGCCGGCGACGAGCUCAGGCGGCGGCGUGCUACGGCCAGCUAUGAAAUGGCGGCUACGGCGAGCGGCAAGCCACGGGGUUAGGGGCAAAACGUGCAGGAGCUCACGGUGGUUCGGAUGGGGUAGAUGACGAGCUCGGGGAAGCGGAGACGGCGGCGAAUCGACGGUGAAGAUCCUCGGCGGCCGGCGAUGGAAACGGCGAUGGUGGCGGCGUUGCAGCGUGUCCGGGACCUUGUGGCUCGGUGGAGAGAAAGAGGGGGUCGAGGCGGAGCCUUGGAGCGCAUCGGCGAGGCUAGGGGGUGGCGGUGGCCGCGAGGGAGCUCGUCGGUGGCGGCGGCUCCGUUCGGGCGAGUGAGAGAGAGGUCCAGGGGAGAGGAUGAGGACGCGGGAGAGUGAGGGAGAGAGACAGGGAGGUGCGUGGCGUCUCCGGGGCGUCGAGGAGGAAGCAGGAGGUGGCCAGGGGAAGCAGGAGGUGGCCGAGGCCUCUCGGGCGCGCGCCACGCCUCGCCUCUGCCUACUGGAAGANNNNNNNNNNNNNNNNNNNNNNNNNNNNNNNNNNNNNNNNNNNNNNNNNNNNNNNNNNNNNNNNNNNNNNNNNNNNNNNNNNNNNNNNNNNNNNNNNNNNNNNNNNNNNNNNNNNNNNNNNNNNNNNNNNNNNNNNNNNNNNNNNNNNNNNNNNNNNNNNNNNNNNNNNNNNNNNNNNUGGGCCGUGCUGGGCCAGGUAAGUGGGCGCCAGGUAACUUCCUUCUCUCUCUCUCUCUUUUAUUUCUUUUCUAUUUCUGUUAUUUUGUUUUUGAUUUGAUUUAAAAUACCAAAUCAUUUAAUAAAAUCCUGGAAACAAUUAUGGGUGCUUUCUGAAUUAUUUCAGUGACCCUUAACAAUUUCCAACAUUUAUUUGAACAUUUAAAUUAUUUAUAGUAUUUAAAUGCCCAAAGUCAAAUACAAUAUGAUUUAAUUCAAAAAUCCAAAAAUGACCUAAGAAUAUAUUCAUCAUUUUUGGCAGAGGUUUCCACCUUAACCAGAAAUCAUGAACUUUUCUUAGGAACCUUUUGGGUUUAUUGAAAAGAUUUUAAUUCACCCUAGUUGAGUUGAUUUAAUGCUAGGGUUUGAACAUCCCCAUUUCAAUUUUAGGCAAGAUUUAAACAUGAUGCAACACAUGACUAGCUAGCUCAGAGCAAACCAGAAGCUAGGGAUGUGACACAGUUGUUUUUAGUUUUCUGCAAUGUUGAUUUGAAAAGCUUUCGAUGUUCUGUUUAUGUAUGCCAGACUUAAGAAAGAAUUUCAUAGUCACAUUUGACAUAUUCAGAUCAAGUUUAUCCCUCGGAUUAUGUUACAUUCAACUCUUCCUCUCUUCAGUGAAUAAAUUUUGACAUAUCUUAACAAGACUUUUUUGUCAUCUUUUAGCUAGUGUGAUGAGAUUUUGGCACCUGUACAUUCCUUGUACCAACUUAGGCAAAUAAUAAUUUAUUUGUUUUUGUGAAAGUUGAUUGAGCACAUCUUCUAGACUCUUGUGAAUACAUCUGGGACAAUGGUUCACAUCAGUUAGGUAUAUACUGCUUCCGUUUCGAGUGAAAUCCUCUCCCAUAGCCCCUGCCCUAGAUGAAAUGAGCUAUAUAUGUGUAUGAUGAUCCUCCUUUCCUAAAAGUGAGAUUGCCAUAUGUAGUUCAGAAUUGACCUAUCAUGCUUAAUUUACACAGCAUCUAAUCAUGAGCUUACGAAGCUGCUGUUUUGGAGUUGUGUGCCGCAAUAUGAGUAGUAAAUUUGUGAACCUGCUAUGUAAUGUUUAGGUUCCAGCAAGGAAAUUUGUGCGCCGCUAUCCUGAACCUCCUCUGCUUUCUCUGAAACAGGGUUACCAUGUGAAGAAAAAAGAUAUGUGGGAGCUUUUGAAUGGACAAAGGCUUAAGCAAGGAAGAGAAGACAGCUGCAUUUCCUUACUUGCAAUUCUAGUAACUAUCUUUGUUAUAACUUGCAGAGUGUACCUGCAAAAGAAAACUUGUAGAGUGUGAUGGAUUAAUUAGGAUGCUAUGUAAUCAGAGUACGUACCCUAUCAUAUGUAUCAUGACUGAUUGCGACCAGGGUCUGCAUUCUAUGAAGAAGGCACCCAUUUAUAUGUUUAUUAGUGACAUUGUGUUGUGCUUGCUCUACUACUUCUGUACAUUAUUUGUGGAAUUGGUCUUGUUGUUCACCAUUGCUGAAAAUCUGUUUCAGUUAGCGUGCCCUUAUGUAGCACUAUUUCAAAUGGAGUUGGUCGAGUCCUCCUGCUCAUUUUUUAUGCCAACGAACAUUGUUGUCG